Molecule: ribosomal RNA, 213 nt
Filed under: uncultured bacterium
Lineage: Bacteria
Description: partial 16S ribosomal RNA
Rfam family: Bacterial small subunit ribosomal RNA
Source: RNAcentral
UACGAAGGUCCCGAGCGUUGUUCGGAAUCACUGGGCGUAAAGGGAGCGUAGGCGGCGCGGUAAGUCAGAUGUGAAAUCCCGGGGCUCAACCCCGGGAACUGCAUCCGAUACUGCCGUGCUAGAGGAUUGGAGAGGUAGCUGGAAUUCUUGGUGUAGCAGUGAAAAUGCGUGGAGAUCAAAGAGGAACACUCGUGGCGAAAAGCGAGCUACUGG